AACGCUGGCGGCGUGCCUAAUACAUGCAAGUCGAGCGAACAGAAGGGAGCUUGCUCCCGGAUGUUAGCGGCGGACGGGUGAGUAACACGUGGGUAACCUGCCUGUAAGACUGGGAUAACUCCGGGAAACCGGAGCUAAUACCGGAUAGUUCCUUGAACCGCAUGGUUCAAGGAUGAAAGACGGUUUCGGCUGUCACUUACAGAUGGACCCGCGGCGCAUUAGCUAGUUGGUGGGGUAAUGGCUCACCAAGGCGACGAUGCGUAGCCGACCUGAGAGGGUGAUCGGCCACACUGGGACUGAGACACGGCCCAGACUCCUACGGGAGGCAGCAGUAGGGAAUCUUCCGCAAUGGACGAAAGUCUGACGGAGCAACGCCGCGUGAGUGAUGAAGGUUUUCGGAUCGUAAAGCUCUGUUGUUAGGGAAGAACAAGUGCGAGAGUAACUGCUCGCACCUUGACGGUACCUAACCAGAAAGCC
Molecule: ribosomal RNA, 477 nt
Filed under: Bacillus pumilus
Lineage: Bacteria; Bacillati; Bacillota; Bacilli; Caryophanales; Bacillaceae
Description: bacterial SSU rRNA
Rfam family: Bacterial small subunit ribosomal RNA
Source: RNAcentral